RNAcentral lists this ribosomal RNA (253 nucleotides) under uncultured bacterium. Its description in RNAcentral is "partial 16S ribosomal RNA". It matches the Rfam family "Bacterial small subunit ribosomal RNA", at positions 524 to 776 of the family's 1533-position model. The record is from RNAcentral.
UACGAAGGGGGCUAGCGUUGCUCGGAAUCACUGGGCGUAAAGCGCACGUAGGCGGCUUUGUAAGUUAGAGGUGAAAGCCCAGAGCUCAACUCUGGAACUGCCUUUAAGACUGCAUCGCUUGAAUCAUGGAGAGGUCAGUGGAAUUCCGAGUGUAGAGGUGAAAUUCGUAGAUAUUCGGAAGAACACCAGUGGCGAAGGCGACUGACUGGACAUGUAUUGACGCUGAGGUGCGAAAGCGUGGGGAGCAAACAGG